CGGAGGGUGCAAGCGUUAUCCGGAUUCACUGGGUUUAAAGGGUGCGUAGGUGGGUUGGUAAGUCAGUGGUGAAAUCCCCGAGCUUAACUUGGGAACUGCCAUUGAUACUAUCAGUCUUGAAUACCGUGGAGGUCGGCGGAAUAUGUCAUGUAGCGGUGAAAUGCUUAGAUAUGACAUAGAACACCAAUUGCGAAGGCAGCUGACUACGCGAGUAUUGACACUGAGGCACGAAAGCGUGGGGAUCAAACAGGAUUAGAUACCCUGGUAGUCCACGCCCUAAACUAUGAUACUCGACAUACGCGAUACACUGUGUGUGUCUGAGCGAAAGCAUUAAGUAUCCCACCUGGGAAGUACGAUCGCAAGAUUG
Molecule: ribosomal RNA, 367 nt
Filed under: uncultured organism
Description: bacterial SSU rRNA
Rfam family: Bacterial small subunit ribosomal RNA
Source: RNAcentral